RNAcentral lists this ribosomal RNA (624 nucleotides) under uncultured bacterium. RNAcentral describes it as "bacterial SSU rRNA". It matches the Rfam family "Bacterial small subunit ribosomal RNA", at positions 860 to 1532 of the family's 1533-position model. The record is from RNAcentral.
UAACGUUAAUCGCGCGGGAAAUCGGCGCAGGUAAAAUUAAAAAUUGCGGGCCUGCCAACGGUGGGAUAGGGUUAAUUCGAGCACGCGAGAACCUUACCGGCCUGCAUGCAAUGGAGAAGGUGAAGUUGCAUCCGCAAGGAAGGUCCCCGUGCUGCAUGCUGUCGUCAGUUGGUUGUGAGAGUUGGUUAAUCCCGCACGAGCGCAACCCCUGUGCCUGUUGCCACCGGCGCAAGCCGAGCACUCUGACAGAUGCCUCGCUUCAACGAGGAGGAAGGUGGGGAUGACGUCAAGUCAGUAUGGCCCCUUACGGCCAGGGCUGCACACGUACUACAAUGCCCGGCACAAAGGGAAGCAAGAGCGUAAGCUGGAGCAAAUCCCCCAAAACCGGGCCCAGUUCAGAUUGUCGUCUGCAACUCGACGGCAUGAAGCUGGAAUCGCUAGUAAUGGCGCAUCAGCUACGGCGCCGUGAAUACGUUCCCAGGCCUUGUACACACCGCCCGUCACAUCAUGAAAGCCGGUUGCACCCGAAGUCGCCCCUCAAAAGGUGCCGAAGGUAUGACUGGUGAUUGGGAUGAAGUCGUAACAAGGUAGCCGUAGGGGAACCUGCGGCUGGAUCACCUCCUU